ACGGAAGGCAGCAGUGGGGAAUAUUGCACAAUGGGGGAAACCCUGAUGCAGCGAUGCCGCGUGGAGGAAGAAGGUUUUCGGAUUGUAAACUCCUGUCUUAAAGGACGAUAAUGACGGUACUUUAGGAGGAAGCUCCGGCUAACUACGUGCCAGCAGCCGCGGUAAUACGUAGGGAGCGAGCGUUGUCCGGAAUUACUGGGUGUAAAGGGAGCGUAGGCGGGACUGCAAGUCAGAUGUGAAAUGCCGGGGCUUAGCCCCGGAGCUGCAUUUGAAACUGUGGUUCUUGAGUGAAGUAGAGGCAAGCGGAAUUCCUGGUGUAGCGGUGAAAUGCGUAGAUAUCAGGAGGAACACCGGUGGCGAAGGCGGCUUGCUGGGCUUUUACUGACGCUGAGGCUCGAAAGCGUGGGUAGCAAACAGGAUUAGAUACCCUGGUA
RNAcentral lists this ribosomal RNA (434 nucleotides) under uncultured Ruminococcus sp. RNAcentral describes it as "bacterial SSU rRNA". It matches the Rfam family "Bacterial small subunit ribosomal RNA", at positions 341 to 792 of the family's 1533-position model. The record is from RNAcentral. Lineage: Bacteria; Bacillati; Bacillota; Clostridia; Eubacteriales; Oscillospiraceae.